Molecule: long non-coding RNA, 358 nt
Organism: Populus euphratica (Euphrates poplar)
Lineage: Eukaryota; Viridiplantae; Streptophyta; Magnoliopsida; Malpighiales; Salicaceae
Exons: 2
Source: RefSeq, a predicted model, not a curated record
AUCGAGUCUGGAAGUCCUGAAAUAAUUAGAAGAUUGGAAUUCAUGAUCUGAUUCAAUGGAAACAGUGGCCAAGAAAUUGGUUAAUGAUUUCAAACUUUUUAUUGGGAUAUAUGGCAGAAAGUUCAAUGCAGUCCAGUGACGGACAUAAAAGCUGUAAAAUACUGUUAGCAAAAGUUACACUCGACAAUGACAAACAACAUGUGGCAGAAAGUUCAAAGGGGUCCAGUGACGAACAUAAAAGUUCUAAUCUGUUGAUAGCAAAAGGUGCACUCAAAAUGAAUCUUUAAAUUUUCUGACAAGGAUCAACACACGUCAUUGUUCUAUUCAUUGGAAAUUAGUCAUUAAUUAUUCAGUUUCA